Molecule: long non-coding RNA, 571 nt
Filed under: Fukomys damarensis (Damara mole-rat)
Lineage: Eukaryota; Metazoa; Chordata; Mammalia; Rodentia; Bathyergidae
Description: lncRNA (ENSFDAG00000031054.1)
Source: RNAcentral
CCGAAACUAAAGAGAGAUUUCCCCAGCGGAGGAUCCUGGGUAAUUCUCUCCUGCUCCCCACCCCUGUUCCAGGAAGCUGCUGCUAACAGUUGCUUUAAGAGAAUCCAGCUCUUUUUGAAACAAAUUAUGUGAAAGGAUAAAUCCAAUUUCUAUAUGAUGACACCACGAACCAAAGUCAUGGAAGGCAGUCAUGCUAUAGAAGAAGCACCACGUAAGAAAAAUAGUGAAAGAAAUAGAAAUGAAGAGUAAAUCCAAACCAUCCAACUCUCUGCUUGACAACUGAACCCUCUCCUCAGCCCACGCUGACAGCUGCUGUUCAUACAAAUCGACAGGAGGCGGUGAGUCACAGCUGAGAAGUGUCAUCAACGUGAAUGAGUUCAAGCUCAACCGACUCGAAGAUUUAGGGCAGAAAGAUCUGCUGGAAACCGGCUAAGAGAGGACAAAAAAUAUUUCCCAAGUUAAGUGAACAUUGCCAGUGGAUCCAUCUACAUCCUGAAAAUUCUGAAACACCAGUUGUCUGAUUUCCCCUGGCUUUGUGUGAAUUGCAUAUCGUAGGUUGGAGGAAUGGGGC